GGCCUGGUGGUCUAGUAGUAUGAUUCCUUCUUAGGGUAUUCCGUCGUUUGGAGGAGGUCCCGGGUUCAAUUCCCGGCUAGGCCC
Neolentinus lepideus HHB14362 ss-1 is the source of this 84-nucleotide non-coding RNA. The record is from the annotation of a GenBank genome assembly. NCBI's taxonomy places the organism in Eukaryota, Fungi, Basidiomycota, Agaricomycetes, Gloeophyllales, Gloeophyllaceae.